Molecule: ribosomal RNA, 510 nt
Filed under: uncultured bacterium
Lineage: Bacteria
Description: bacterial SSU rRNA
Rfam family: Bacterial small subunit ribosomal RNA
Source: RNAcentral
GAUUAUGGCUCAGGAUGAACGCUAGCUACAGGCUUAACACAUGCAAGUCGUGGGGCAGCAUGAAGGAAGCUUGCUCCUUGAUGGCGACCGGCGCACGGGUGAGUAACGCGUAUCCAACCUGCCUGAUACUCGGGUAUAGCCCAGUGAAAACUGGAUUAACCCCCGAUGUGGUCCUUUGCAGACAUCUAAUUAGGAUUAAAGUUUACGGUAUCGGAUGGGGAUGCGUCUGAUUAGCUUGUUGGCGGGGUAACGGCCCACCAAGGCGACGAUCAGUAGGGGUUCUGAGAGGAAGGUCCCCCACAUUGGAACUGAGACACGGUCCAAACUCCUACGGGAGGCAGCAGUGAGGAAUAUUGGUCAAUGGGCGGAAGCCUGAACCAGCCAAGUAGCGUGCAGGAUGACGGCCCUAUGGGUUGUAAACUGCUUUUGUGUGGGAAUAAAGCGGGGGACGUGUCCCCCUUUGCAUGUACCUCACGAAUAAGGACCGGCUAAUUCCGUGCCAGCCGCCGC